Molecule: ribosomal RNA, 498 nt
Filed under: uncultured bacterium
Lineage: Bacteria
Description: partial 16S ribosomal RNA
Rfam family: Bacterial small subunit ribosomal RNA
Source: RNAcentral
GAUGAACGCUAGCGGCAGGCCUAAUACAUGCAAGUCGGACGGGAUUUGGGAGCUUGCUCCUAAUGAGAGUGGCGCACGGGUGCGUAACACGUAUGUAACCUACCUUAAUCAGGGGGAUAGCCUCUCGAAAGAGAGAUUAACACCGCAUAAUAUAUUUUUAUCGCAUCGUAGAAAUAUCAAAUAUUUAUAGGAUUAAGAUGGGCAUGCGGAACAUUAUCUAGUUGGUAAGGUAACGGCUUACCAAGGCUACCAUGUUUAGGGGAUCUGAGAGGAUGACCCCACACACUGGUACGGAGACACGGACCAGACUCCGACGGGAGGCAGCAGUAAGGAAUAUUGGUCAAUGGGCGCAAGCCUGAACCAGCCAUGCCGCGUGCAGGAAGACGGCGCUAUGGGUUGUAAACUGCUUUUGUACCGGAAUAAACCCUUUUACGUGUAGAAGGCUGAAUGUACGGUAAGAAUAAGGAUCGGCUAACUCCGUGCCAGCCGCCGCAGUAA